Molecule: transfer RNA, 26 nt
Filed under: Nicrophorus melissae
Lineage: Eukaryota; Metazoa; Arthropoda; Insecta; Coleoptera; Silphidae
Description: partial tRNA-Lys
Source: RNAcentral
CACUAGAUGGCUGAAAGCAAGUACUG